AACGGAGGGGGCAAGUGUUAUCCGCAAUGACUGGGCGUAAAGGGCAUGUAGGCUGUUUUUUUCCACCAAAAAAAUUAAAAUACUUUAGAAAAAAUAAAGAAAAAAUUUUUUUAUAGUGGGUUAAACUUGAGUUUUGUUCAAGGAUAUAGAAUUCUUAAAGGAGGGGUGGAAUCCAGUGAGAUUAAGAGGAAUGCCAACGGGUGAAAGCGAUAUUCUAGAAUAAACUGACGCUGAGAUGCGAAAGCAUGGGUAUCGAAUAGG
This 261-nucleotide ribosomal RNA is filed under the name uncultured bacterium. RNAcentral's name for it is "partial 16S ribosomal RNA". It matches the Rfam family "Bacterial small subunit ribosomal RNA", at positions 524 to 776 of the family's 1533-position model. The record is from RNAcentral.